AAUAACCCGGCAGCGAGUGAUUUAUGAACCAACACUCACUGACAGGGGAGCAUCCUGAAGCCAGUGUUGAGCAAGCCUGUCUCGUAACAGGAAGCCUGAUCCGGCUCAUCCGCUUCCCACUUGAACCUCAGGGUUCAAAAUCUUGGCCUGUCGGGCUUACC
Molecule: non-coding RNA, 161 nt
Filed under: Legionella spiritensis
Lineage: Bacteria; Pseudomonadati; Pseudomonadota; Gammaproteobacteria; Legionellales; Legionellaceae
Description: 6S / SsrS RNA
Rfam family: 6S / SsrS RNA
About the family: E. coli 6S RNA was the first non coding RNA to be sequenced, but its function was unknown until recently. It consists of 184 nucleotides that fold into an extended hairpin structure with a large single-stranded internal bulge.
Source: Rfam by way of RNAcentral